AGAUUGAUUUAAGGGGAGAGAAAUCAUAACAGGGGUUGGUGGAGCAGAAGAGGGCGAAGGAAGACUUGUGGGGAGCUGCGAGGAAUAGAUUUUGGGAUUUGUUUCCUUAUAGGAUAUCCUGCCGAUUUGAUCUAUUUUUGGCUAGAGCACAUGGGAUCAAACCAGAGGAUACCCAAACCAGUGGUAACGUUUUU
This is a long non-coding RNA of Triticum dicoccoides, 194 nucleotides long. RefSeq lists it as uncharacterized. The transcript is spliced from 3 exons. Lineage: Eukaryota; Viridiplantae; Streptophyta; Magnoliopsida; Poales; Poaceae. The record is from RefSeq and is a predicted model, not a curated record.